GACGAACGCUGGCGGCGUGCUUAACACAUGCAAGUCGAACGGAAAGGCCCUGCUUUUGUGGGGUGCUCGAGUGGCGAACGGGUGAGUAACACGUGUGUAACCUGCCCUUGACUUUGGGAUAACUUCAGGAAACUGGGGCUACUACCGCAUAGUCGCUCCUGCUGCGUGGUGGGGGUUGGAAAGUUUCGGCGGUUGGGGAUGGACUCGCGGCUUAUCAGCUUGUUGGUGGGGUAGUGGCUUGCCAAGGCUUUGACGGGUAGCCGGCCUGAGAGGCGGACCGGCCACAUUGGGACUGAGAUACGGCCCAGACUCCUACGGGAGGCAGCAGUGGGGAAUAUUGCACAGUGGGCGGAAGCCUGAUGCAGCAACGCCGCGUGCGGGGUGACGGACUUCUGGUGGUAAACCGGAUUCGCCUGUGAUGAAGCGUGAGUGACGGUAAUGGGUAAAGAAGCACCGGCUAACUACGUG
RNAcentral lists this ribosomal RNA (468 nucleotides) under uncultured bacterium. RNAcentral describes it as "partial 16S ribosomal RNA". It matches the Rfam family "Bacterial small subunit ribosomal RNA", at positions 28 to 507 of the family's 1533-position model. The record is from RNAcentral.